This 242-nucleotide ribosomal RNA is filed under the name uncultured bacterium. Its description in RNAcentral is "partial 16S ribosomal RNA". It matches the Rfam family "Bacterial small subunit ribosomal RNA", at positions 29 to 300 of the family's 1533-position model. The record is from RNAcentral.
AACGAACGCUGGCGGCAGGCCUAACACAUGCAAGUCGAACGCUCUAGCAAUAGAGAGUGGCAGACGGGUGAGUAACGCGUGGGAACCUUCCCUAUGGUUCGGAAUAACUCGCCGAAAGGCGUGCUAAUACCGGGUAAGCCCGCAAGGGGAAGAUUUAUCGCCAUAGGAUGGCCCGCGUAGGAUUAGCUAGUUGGUGAGGUAAUGGCCUACCAAGGCAACGACGGAUAGGGGACCUGAGAGGG